RNAcentral lists this ribosomal RNA (550 nucleotides) under uncultured bacterium. RNAcentral describes it as "bacterial SSU rRNA". It matches the Rfam family "Bacterial small subunit ribosomal RNA", at positions 355 to 896 of the family's 1533-position model. The record is from RNAcentral.
UGGGGAAUCUUCCGCAAUGGACGAAAGUCUGACGGAGCAACGCCGCCUGAGUGAUGACGGCCUUCGGGUUGUAAAGCUCUGUUAAUCGGGACGAAAGGCCUUCUUGCGAAUAGUGAGAAGGAUUGACGGUACCGGAAUAGAAAGCCACGGCUAACUACGUGCCAGCAGCCGCGGUAAUACGUAGGUGGCAAGCGUUGUCCGGAAUUAUUGGGCGUAAAGCGCGCGCAGGCGGAUAGGUCAGUCUGUCUUAAAAGUUCGGGGCUUAACCCCGUGAUGGGAUGGAAACUGCCAAUCUAGAGUAUCGGAGAGGAAAGUGGAAUUCCUAGUGUAGCGGUGAAAUGCGUAGAUAUUAGGAAGAACACCAGUGGCGAAGGCGACUUUCUGGACGAAAACUGACGCUGAGGCGCGAAAGCCAGGGGAGCGAACGGGAUUAGAUACCCCGGUAGUCCUGGCCGUAAACGAUGGGUACUAGGUGUAGGAGGUAUCGACCCCUUCUGUGCCGGAGUUAACGCAAUAAGUACCCCGCCUGGGGAGUACGACCGCAAGGUUG